UGUAUAGUAGUGUAAGAAGCAUAAGAAAUUUUGAUUUUUUAGGUAUGGGUGCAAGUCCUAUUUAUAUAA
RNAcentral lists this transfer RNA (69 nucleotides) under Thalassina kelanang. Its description in RNAcentral is "tRNA-Gln". It matches the Rfam family "tRNA". Rfam says of the family: Transfer RNA (tRNA) molecules are approximately 80 nucleotides in length. Their secondary structure includes four short double-helical elements and three loops (D, anti-codon, and T loops). Further hydrogen bonds mediate the characteristic L-shaped molecular structure. tRNAs have two regions of fundamental functional importance: the anti-codon, which is responsible for specific mRNA codon recognition, and the 3' end, to which the tRNAs corresponding amino acid is attached (by aminoacyl-tRNA synthetases). tRNAs cope with the degeneracy of the genetic code in two manners: having more than one tRNA (with a specific anti-codon) for a particular amino acid; and 'wobble' base-pairing, i.e. permitting non-standard base-pairing at the 3rd anti-codon position. The record is from RNAcentral. Lineage: Eukaryota; Metazoa; Arthropoda; Malacostraca; Decapoda; Thalassinidae.